Molecule: ribosomal RNA, 497 nt
Filed under: uncultured bacterium
Lineage: Bacteria
Description: partial 16S ribosomal RNA
Rfam family: Bacterial small subunit ribosomal RNA
Source: RNAcentral
GACGAACGCUGGCGGCGUGCCUAAUACAUGCAAGUCGAGCGAACAGACGAUGAUCUUUCCACUCUGACAAUUGAGGCGCAAGGGGGAGUAAAACGUGGAUAACACCCCUAUCAUACUGGGAUACAUUCGUGAAAAAGGAGCUAAUAUACGAGAAAAUAUUAUACCGUAUGGUUCAGUAGUGUAAGAGUGGUUUUUUCUCACAUUUAGAUAGAUCUGCGCGGCAUUAGCUAGUUGGUAAGGUAACGGCUUACCAAGGCAACGAUGCAUAGCCGACCUGAGAGGGUGAUCGGCCACACUGGAACUGAGACACGGUCCAGACUCCUACGGGAGGCAGCAGUAGGGAAUCUUCCGCAAUGGGCGAAAGCCUGACGGAGCAACGCCGCGUGAGUGAUGAAGGUCUUCGGAUCGUAAAACUCUGUUAUUAGGGAAGAACGAUUGUGUAAGUAACUAUGCACGUAUUGACGGUACCUAAUCAGAAAGCCACGGCUAACUACGUG